AAUCCUCUGGGGAAUCACAUGACCACGAAAUCUCAACAAUCCAUCUCUCCACGCUCUUGUUCGCGUAAUUAUUGACUGUUUAUAUCUAAGGACUAUAUACACGGGUGUAAAGAGGCACGUUGUGAUUUUCAUAAGUGGCGCCUCAUCCUGGACAAUCAUUUAUUUUCUUUUCCUGGAUAAACGCCACUAUCGUCCAAUCAACGAUUUCUGACAUCAUCAGCCUGCGCCUUUGCUGUUUUUCAAAUUCCUACCAGUGCCUCCUGCUCAUGCAGAGCAACAGAUUGGAUCACAUUCCUAGUGGAAUGAUGAUUGUCAAGACAUCGUUUCAGUCAUUUAAAGAUGGAAGAUGGCUUGAUGACAUGGAUGCUCAAAUGAGAGCGUGCACUGAAGGGUCCACUGACUCCUGAAUCGGACUUCAUCAGCCAACGUACUUGUAAAGGAGAAAGCUAUGUUAACAUUUCUUUUUAUAAAAUACUACAAUAAUCAGAUCUACACAUGCUGUGAAAAACUUUUAUGUGUGUAUCUCAUAAAAUUAAACAUACCUGAAGAACAUGGUGCCAACAAAGGAGAACAUUGAUUUCACAUAUAUCUCUGUCAACUAUGAAUGACCUGAAAUUAUCAAAGAAUAUUCAAUAUAUUUAUUCAGCUAUAUGCUUUAGGCACUGACAGUAUAGUAAGAGAUCACAGUGUAAGAUAUCUGUGUGAUGUAUUUUUAAUCCUUAUGCUAACUAAGAGCAAUAAAACAUAAUCCAGUGUAUUUUGCAUGUUCAUAGGUGCACUUUAAUGGACACACUGUUAUAAUUAAUAUUUGACAUUGCAAUGCAUAUUAUGUACAUGAUAACAUGAUUCAGGCAUGUGCAAAAGUUGGAAUACUCCUGUUCAG
Molecule: long non-coding RNA, 883 nt
Organism: Colossoma macropomum (tambaqui)
Lineage: Eukaryota; Metazoa; Chordata; Actinopteri; Characiformes; Serrasalmidae
Exons: 3
Source: RefSeq, a predicted model, not a curated record